AGAGUUUGAUCAUGGCUCAGAAUGAACGUUGGCGGCGUGGAUCAGGCAUGCAAGUCGAACGAAUGCCAUCUGGGCAACUGGGUGGCGGAAGUGGCGAAAGGGGCAGUAAGGCGUGGAUAACCUGCCCCGGACUUCAGGAUAGCCCCUCUAACGAGGGGGUAAUACUGGAUGCCGUAGGGGGGGAGCAUUCUCUUGCUACGAAAGCCGCAAGGCGGUCCGGGAGGGGUUCACGUGGUAUUAGCUUGUUGGUGAGGUAACGGCUCACCAAGGCCAAGAUGCCUAGCAGGUGUGAGAGCACGACCUGCGCCACUGGCACUGGGACACUGGCCAGACUCCUACGGGAGGCUGCAGUCGAGGAUCUUCGGCAAUGGGCGAAAGCCUGACCGAGCGACGCCGCGUGUGCGAUGAAGGCCUUCGGGUUGUAAAGCACUGUCGUAGGGGAGAAAGGGCGCAAGCCUUGAUCGACCCUAGGAGGAAGCUCGGGCUAAGUUCGUGCCAGCAGCCGCGGUAAGACGAACCGAGCGAACGUUAUUCGGAAUCACUUGGGCUUAAAGGGCGCGUAGGCGGGCGAUCAAGUCAGGGGUGAAAGCCCCCAGCUCAACUGGGGAAGUGCCUCUGAUACUGGUCGUCUCGAGCGAGGUAGGGGCGUGCGGAACUUCCGGUGGAGCGGUGAAAUGCGUAGAUAUCGGAAGGAACAUCGGUGGCGAAAGCGGCGCGCUGGACCUCUUCUGACGCUGAGGCGCGAAAGCCAGGGGAGCGAACGGGAUUAGAUACCCCGGUAGUCCUGGCCCUAAACGUUGGGCACUAGGUUGUGGGCUUACGUGGGCUCACAGCCGGAGCAAAAGUAUUAAGUGCCCCGCCUGGGGAGUAUGGUCGCAAGGCUGAAACUUAAAGGAAUUGACGG
RNAcentral lists this ribosomal RNA (904 nucleotides) under uncultured bacterium. RNAcentral describes it as "bacterial SSU rRNA". It matches the Rfam family "Bacterial small subunit ribosomal RNA", at positions 8 to 916 of the family's 1533-position model. The record is from RNAcentral.